RNAcentral lists this ribosomal RNA (423 nucleotides) under uncultured bacterium. RNAcentral's name for it is "bacterial SSU rRNA". It matches the Rfam family "Bacterial small subunit ribosomal RNA", at positions 358 to 773 of the family's 1533-position model. The record is from RNAcentral.
GGAAUAUUGGGCAAUGGCCGAAAGGCUGACCCAGCAACGCCGCGUGAGGGAUGAAGCUCUAAGGAGUGUAAACCUCUUUCGGAAGGGAAGAAUCCUUGUGCAGUAAAUAAUUGCACGAAUUGACGGUACCUUCCAAAGAAGCCCCGGCUAACUCCGUGCCAGCAGCCGCGGUAAUACGGGGGGGCAAGCGUUGUCCGGAAUCAUUGGGCGUAAAGGGCGCGUAGGCGGAAUAGUAAGUUAGAGGUGAAAAUUCAGGGCUUAACCCUGGACCUGCCUUUAAUACUGCUGUUCUCGAGUGCGAGAGAGGAAAGCGGAAUUCCCGGUGUAGCGGUGAAAUGCGUAGAUAUCGGGAAGAACACCGGUAGCGAAGGCGGCUUUCUGGCUCGUAACUGACGCUGAGGCGCGAAAGCGUGGGGAGCGAAC